This 511-nucleotide ribosomal RNA is filed under the name uncultured bacterium. Its description in RNAcentral is "bacterial SSU rRNA". It matches the Rfam family "Bacterial small subunit ribosomal RNA", at positions 8 to 518 of the family's 1533-position model. The record is from RNAcentral.
AGAGUUUGAUCCUGGCUUAGGAUGAACGCUGGCGGCGUGCCUAACACAUGCAAGUCGAACGGAGCUUACUUGAAGGAGAUUCGGUCAACGGAAGGGUAAGCUUAGUGGCGGACGGGUGAGUAACGCGUGGAGAACCUGCCCUGUACAGGGGGAUAACAGUGAGAAAUCACUGCUAAUACCGCAUAAGCGCACAGUACCGCAUGGUACAGUGUGAAAAAACUCCGGUGGUACAGGAUGGCUCCGCGUUGGAUUAGCCAGUUGGCGGGGUAACGGCCCACCAAAGCGACGAUCCAUAGCCGGCCUGAGAGGGUGAACGGCCACAUUGGGACUGAGACACGGCCCAGACUCCUACGGGAGGCAGCAGUGGGGAAUAUUGCACAAUGGGGGAAACCCUGAUGCAGCCGACGCCGCGUGAAGGAAGAAGUAUCUCGGUAUGUAAACUUCUAUCAGCAGGGAAGAUGAUGACGGUACCUGACUAAGAAGCCCCGGCUAACUACGUGCCAGCAGCCGC